RNAcentral lists this ribosomal RNA (498 nucleotides) under uncultured bacterium. Its description in RNAcentral is "partial 16S ribosomal RNA". It matches the Rfam family "Bacterial small subunit ribosomal RNA", at positions 30 to 523 of the family's 1533-position model. The record is from RNAcentral.
AUUGAACGCUGGCGGCAUGCCUUACACAUGCAAGUCGAACGGUAACAGGUCUUCGGAUGCUGACGAGUGGCGAACGGGUGAGUAAUACAUCGGAACGUGCCUAGUAGUGGGGGAUAACUACUCGAAAGAGUGGCUAAUACCGCAUGAGAUCUACGGAUGAAAGCAGGGGAUCGCAAGACCUUGUGCUACUAGAGCGGCCGAUGGCAGAUUAGGUAGUGGGUGGGAUAAAAGCUUACCAAGCCGACGAUCUGUAGCUGGUCUGAGAGGACGCUCAGCCCCACUGGGGCUGAGACACGGCCCAGACUCCUACGGGAGGCAGCAGUGGGGAAGUUUGGACAAUGGGCGAAAGCCUGAUUCAGCAAUGCCGCGUGCAGGAUGAAGGCCUUCGGGUUGUAAACUGCUUUUGUACGGAACGAAAAGCCCCGGGUUAAUACCCUGGGGUCAUGACGGUACCGUAAGAAUAAGCACCGGCUAACUACGUGCCAGCAGCCGCAGUAA